GAUGAACGCUGGCGGCGUGCCUAAUACAUGCAAGUCGAGCGAACGGACGAGAAGCUUGCUUCUCUUAUGUUAGCGGCGGACGGGUGAGUAACACGUGGAUAACCUACCUAUAAGACUGGGAUAACUUCGGGAAACCGGAGCUAAUACCGGAUAAUAUUUUGAACCGCAUGGUUCAAAAGUGAAAGACGGUCUUGCUGUCACUUAUAGAUGGAUCCGCGCUGCAUUAGCUAGUUGGUAAGGUAACGGCUUACCAAGGCAACGAUGCAUAGCCGACCUGAGAGGGUGAUCGGCCAUACUGGAACUGAGAGACGGUCCAGACUCCUACGGGAGGCAGCAGUAGGGAAUCUUCCGCAAUGGGCGAAAGCCUGACGGAGCAACGCCGCGUGAGUGAUGAAGGUCUUCGGAUCGUAAAACUCUGUUAUUAGGGAAGAACAUAUGUGUAAGUAACUGUGCAUAUCUUGACGGUACCUAAUCAGAAAGCCACGGCUAAGUACGUG
Molecule: ribosomal RNA, 497 nt
Filed under: uncultured bacterium
Lineage: Bacteria
Description: partial 16S ribosomal RNA
Rfam family: Bacterial small subunit ribosomal RNA
Source: RNAcentral